AUUGAACGCUGGCGGCAGGCUUAACACAUGCAAGUCGAGCGGGGGAAGGUAGCUUGCUACCGGACCUAGCGGCGGACGGGUGAGUAAUGCUUAGGAAUCUGCCUAUUAGUGGGGGACAACAUCUCGAAAGGGAUGCUAAUACCGCAUACGUCCUACGGGAGAAAGCAGGGGAUCUUCGGACCUUGCGCUAAUAGAUGAGCCUAAGUCGGAUUAGCUAGUUGGUGGGGUAAAGGCCUACCAAGGCGACGAGCUGUAGCGGGUCUGAGAGGAUGGUCCGCCACACUGGGACUGAGACACGGCCCAGGCUCCUACGGGAGGCAGCAGUGGGGAAUAUUGGACAAUGGGGGGAACCCUGAUCCAGCCAUGCCGCGUGUGUGAAGAAGGCCUUAUGGUUGUAAAGCACUUUAAGCGAGGAGGAGGCUACUUUAGUUAAUACCUAGAGAUAGUGGACGUUACUCGCAGAAUAAGCACCGGCUAACUCUGUGCCAGCAGCCGCCGUAA
RNAcentral lists this ribosomal RNA (501 nucleotides) under uncultured bacterium. RNAcentral describes it as "partial 16S ribosomal RNA". It matches the Rfam family "Bacterial small subunit ribosomal RNA", at positions 30 to 523 of the family's 1533-position model. The record is from RNAcentral.